CAUGAUGGAGACCGAACUCCCUGAAGCCCCAAUCACUCCAACUACUUUCUCCGGCUUGACGAAAACCGGAGGCUCGCCGUUGGUGCAGCGCACGUCGGAGGUGUCCUUCUGGAUGAGCGCCUGGACGAAAGUGAGCGACUGCUCGAGCGCAAGAAUGCUUGUCCAACACCAAAGAACGUUUGAGAAGUAAGAGAUGGAAAUAUAUGGAUACAUGUGCCAAGAAACAGGCUACCCCAAAAGGCUGAAUGAUUACCAAGAACUGGGAAUUGUGGAAAUUCUGCUUCUGUGAUUCCGGAUGAGACCUUGCAGAACCUUUGGCAUAACCAGCACAUAAAAGAGCAUCACAGAACUGGUGUGAUUUAAACAUGAGGAACAGGUACAGGUAAUGUGGUUUAGGACCAAAUCACUGAAGUACUGAAGAUUAAACAGAAUUAAUGAACUUUAGACUGCAGUCUCC
Suricata suricatta (meerkat) is the source of this 457-nucleotide long non-coding RNA. RefSeq lists it as uncharacterized. The transcript is spliced from 3 exons. Lineage: Eukaryota; Metazoa; Chordata; Mammalia; Carnivora; Herpestidae. The record is from RefSeq and is a predicted model, not a curated record.